GGUACCAAACUAGUGAUACAAUAUUGACAAGCUUUAUGGAUAAUAACUUCUUAUAUUUCAUGAGUGUGAAGUUUCAAUACAGAUUCCUUGGCGAUCCAGAUUUGGACUAGUUGGAUUCUAUGCCCACAGUUCACAUCACUGUUAAGAAGCACGUACACCUGAGCGUUAAUGUGUAAAAUGGUUUGAGUUUGUGCCCUUAAAAUGAAGUAUUACAUCUAUUAAAAUGUUCAGUGUUGAACAUAAACGGAUAAAUGAGUUGUAUGUAAUAAGCCAUACACCGGGUUGAACUUAAUUGAAAUUAAAGAGACCAUGCCUCAACUGUUUCAAGAGGAAUUGAAAGUGAUGUAAUUGACGCGAAUAUAUGUGCACAUUCAGAACAUGAGGACUAAAUGACCCUGGGAAUGUUUGUUGUCAUACAACAGGUCUCCCUCAUUGUGUAAUAACAUCGCGUGAUGACGGGCGUAUGACGUCAUAAUGGUUUACAGUUAUGACGUCACAAUGCUAAUACCUCUGUCACAAUGGUAUUAGUCAUUGCUUGACUCGCGGAAAGCUGAGAGUGUGAAGGCAAUUUCGCCGCAGUUUCUAUCAAUGUAUGUUGGAGAGCAAUAAACAGAAUACUAAACUCGCUUCCGUGCAAUACCAUUUUUAUUAAGCUCGUGAAAGAUGAUUAACUCGUUUAAUAAAAAUGGCAUAACACGGAAGCUGUUAAGUAUCCUCUGUACAUUACUCACCCGUUGUAGAUAUCACUGUUUGAUAAUUUUACAAUGUUAUUGCACAUUGUUUAUUACACAUUGUGUAAUAACAUCGCGUGA
Haliotis rubra (blacklip abalone) is the source of this 812-nucleotide long non-coding RNA. RefSeq lists it as uncharacterized. The record is from RefSeq and is a predicted model, not a curated record. The transcript is spliced from 3 exons. NCBI's taxonomy places the organism in Eukaryota, Metazoa, Mollusca, Gastropoda, Lepetellida, Haliotidae.